AGCAGCCGCGGUAAUUCCAGCUCCAAUAGCGUAUAUUAAAGUUGUUGCAGUUAAAAAGCUCGUAGUUGAAUUUCGGGGUCAGUAAGUUGGUCGUGCCACUGGUAUGUACUGGCUUUACUGAUUCCUCCUUCUUGUAGAACCGUAAUGCCAUUAAGUUGGUGUUGCGGGGGAAACAGGACUGUUACUUUGAAAAAUUAGAGUGUUUAAAGCAAGCUAACGCUUGAAUACAUUAGCAUGGAAUAAUGAAAUAGGACGCUCGAUCCUAUUUUGUUGGUUUCUAGGAUUGACGUAAUGAUUAAUAGGGAUAGUUGGGGGCAUUAGUAUUCAAUUGUCAGAGGUGAAAUUCUUGGAUUUAUUGAAGACUAACUACUGCGAAAGCAUUUGCCAAGGAUGUUUUCAUUAAUCAAGAACGAAAGUUAGGGGGAUCGAAGACGAUCAGAUACCGUCGUAGUCUUAACCAUAAACUAUGCCGACUAGGGAUCGGAUGAUGUAAUUUUUAAUGACUCAUUCGGCGCCUUAC
Molecule: ribosomal RNA, 520 nt
Filed under: uncultured Glomus
Lineage: Eukaryota; Fungi; Glomeromycota; Glomeromycetes; Glomerales; Glomeraceae
Description: SSU rRNA
Rfam family: Eukaryotic small subunit ribosomal RNA
Source: RNAcentral